This 552-nucleotide long non-coding RNA is filed under the name Homo sapiens (human). RNAcentral's name for it is "HSALNT0139340". Lineage: Eukaryota; Metazoa; Chordata; Mammalia; Primates; Hominidae. The record is from RNAcentral.
AGAACAAAAUGAUAGGUAGAGAAUGGCCACUUCAGGCUGAUCAUCAGAAAAGGCCUGCCUUUAGGAUAUUUCCCCUCUCUCUCCCUUCCUUUCUAGUUCCCUUGCCAACAGGCCUUCGCCAUCUCACGACUACAUUAAUUAUUACAACAGCUUACUGGAUGGGCUUCUGGACUCCCGAAUCUACUCCAUAUCCUGCUGCUAGACCGAUCUUCUGUUUGAUUGUUGUGGAAAGAAGGGGAUAAGUCCUGUGGAAAAUUGUGCUGCGCUUGGCAUUGUGGAUAUUAUUCCUGCUCUUCUGAACCUUACAAGCUGGUGGAACAGGUAGAUAUUAAUAUAUACUUGCUUUGAAGAAAAACACAGCCUGUUUUGAGAGUUGGACCUGAGCUACUUUGGAUCGUCCUUGGUGACUGGUGUUUAAGUUGAAACAUGAAAGGUAAAUAGGAGUUUGUUAGGCAAGGAAGGAGGUUAUGAGCAUUCACAGGUCUCAAGGCAGAAAGCAGUAUGGUGUUAGAACUGGAAGGGAAACACUUUGGAUAGAACGUGAUGAAAAGA